This 519-nucleotide unclassified non-coding RNA is filed under the name uncultured Entrophospora. RNAcentral describes it as "SSU rRNA". It matches the Rfam family "Eukaryotic small subunit ribosomal RNA", at positions 569 to 1085 of the family's 1831-position model. Lineage: Eukaryota; Fungi; Glomeromycota; Glomeromycetes; Entrophosporales; Entrophosporaceae. The record is from RNAcentral.
AGCAGCCGCGGUAAUUCCAGCUCCAAUAGCGUAUAUUAAAGUUGUUGCAGUUAAAAAGCUCGUAGUUGAAUUUCGGGAUUGACGUGAUGGUCGUGCCUUACGGGGUAUGAACUGUUGCAGUCAAUUUCUCACCUUCUGGAGAAAUAUGAUGUCCUUAAUUGGGUGUCAUAUGGAACCAGAACUUUUACCUUGAAAAAUUAGAGUGUUUAAAGCAGGCUUAUUGCUCGAAUACAUUAGCAUGGAAUAAUAAAAUAGGACGGCAUGGUUCUAUUUUGUUGGUUUCUAGGAUCACCGUAAUGAUUAAUAGGGAUAGUUGGGGGCAUUAGUAUUCAAUUGUCAGAGGUGAAAUUCUUGGAUUUAUUGAAGACUAACUACUGCGAAAGCAUUUGCCAAGGAUGUUUUCAUUAAUCAAGAACGAAAGUUAGGGGAUCGAAGACGAUCAGAUACCGUCGUAGUCUUAACCAUAAACUAUGCCGACUAGGAAUCAGACGAUGUUAAUUUUUAAUGACUCGUUUGGUA